GAUGAACGCUGGCGGCGUGCCUAAUACAUGCAAGUCGAGCGAACAGAUAAGGAGCUUGCUCCUUUGACGUUAGCGGCGGACGGGUGAGUAACACGUGGAUAACCUACCUAUAAGACUGGGAUAACUUCGGGAAACCGGAGCUAAUACCGGAUAACAUAUUGAACCGCAUGGUUCAAUAGUGAAAGGCGGCUUUGCUGUCACUUAUAGAUGGAUCCGCGCCGUAUUAGCUAGUUGGUAAGGUAACGGCUUACCAAGGCAACGAUACGUAGCCGACCUGAGAGGGUGAUCGGCCACACUGGAACUGAGACACGGUCCAGACUCCUACGGGAGGCAGCAGUAGGGAAUCUUCCGCAAUGGGCGAAAGCCUGACGGAGCAACGCCGCGUGAGUGAUGAAGGUCUUCGGAUCAUAAAACUCUGUUAUCAGGGAAGAACAAAUGUGUAAGUAACUGUGCACAUCUUGACGGUACCUGAUCAGAAAGCCACGGCUAACUACGUG
Molecule: ribosomal RNA, 497 nt
Filed under: uncultured bacterium
Lineage: Bacteria
Description: partial 16S ribosomal RNA
Rfam family: Bacterial small subunit ribosomal RNA
Source: RNAcentral